Molecule: ribosomal RNA, 440 nt
Filed under: uncultured bacterium
Lineage: Bacteria
Description: partial 16S ribosomal RNA
Rfam family: Bacterial small subunit ribosomal RNA
Source: RNAcentral
CCUACGGGUGGCAGCAGUGGGGAAUAUUGCACAAUGGGGGAAACCCUGAUGCAGCGACGCAGCGUGAGUGAGGAAGUAUUUCGGUAUGUAAAGCUCUAUCUGCAGGGAAGAAAAUGACGGUACCUGACUAAUAAGCCCCGGCUAACUACGUGCCAGCAGCCGCGAUAAUACGGAGGGUGCAAGCGUUAUCCGGAUGUACUGGGUGUAAAGGGAGCGUAGAUGGCUAAUUAAGUGAGAUGUGAAAACUAAGGGCUCAACUGUGAGACUGGUUUUGAAACUGGCUAGCUAGAGUGCAGGAGAGGUAAGCGGAAUUCGUGGUGUAGCGGUGAAAUGCGUAGAUAUUAGGAGGAACACCAGUUGCGAAGGCGGCUUACUGGACUGUCACUGACAUUGAGGCUCGAAAGUGUGGGGAGCAAACAGGAUUAGAUACCCGAGUAGUC